GCAGAUGUGCCGAAAUUGGUAUACGGGUUGGUAUUAGGAACCAAAGAGUUAUUACUCGUGAAGGUUCGAGUCCUUUUAUCUGUA
This 84-nucleotide transfer RNA is filed under the name Ophiocordyceps sinensis. RNAcentral's name for it is "tRNA-Leu". It matches the Rfam family "tRNA". From Rfam's summary of the family: Transfer RNA (tRNA) molecules are approximately 80 nucleotides in length. Their secondary structure includes four short double-helical elements and three loops (D, anti-codon, and T loops). Lineage: Eukaryota; Fungi; Ascomycota; Sordariomycetes; Hypocreales; Ophiocordycipitaceae. The record is from RNAcentral.